This is a small nucleolar RNA of Papaver somniferum (opium poppy), 111 nucleotides long. RefSeq annotates it as small nucleolar RNA Z152/R70/R12. The record is from RefSeq and is a predicted model, not a curated record. The transcript has a single exon. NCBI's taxonomy places the organism in Eukaryota, Viridiplantae, Streptophyta, Magnoliopsida, Ranunculales, Papaveraceae.
GAUGCAAUGAUGAGUUGAAGCACACGGGAGUGUGUAUAGGGCAGUGGGGAAGACCUAAAAAUCUUUGCCGUGAGCCUUUAACAAAAACGACUUCUCCUUCCACUGAGCUCA